GGCAAACGGGUGAGUAACACGUGGGUGACCUGCCUUCGAGUGGGGGAUAACGUUCCGAAAGGAGCGCUAAUACCGCAUGACAUCCUGCCUUUGGAAAGGCGGAGAUCGAAGCCGGGGAUCGUAAGACCUGGCGCUUGAAGAGGGGCCCGCGCCUGAUUAGCUAGUUGGUGGGGUAACGGCCCACCAAGGCGACGAUCAGUAGCCGGCCUGGGAGGGCGGACGGCCACACUGGGACUGAGACACGGCCCAGACUCCUACGGGAGGCAGCAGUGGGGAAUUGUUCGCAAUGGGCGCAAGCCUGACGACGCAACGCCGCGUGGAGGAUGAAGAUCUUCGGGUCGUAAACUCCUUUCGAUCGGGAAAAACGGCUUCCGGGUGAACAAUCCGGGAGAGUGAUGGUACCGAGAGAAGAAGCCCCGGCUAACUCCGUGCCAGCAGCCGCGGUAAUACGGGGGGGGCAAGCGUUGUUCGGAAUUACUGGGCGUAAAGGGCUCGUAGGCGGCCAACUAAGUCCGACGUGAAAUCCCCAGGCUUAACCUGGGAACUGCGUCGGAUACUGGAUGGCUUGAAUCCGGGAGAGGGAUGCGGAAUUCCAGGUGUAGCGGUGAAAUGCGUAGAUAUCUGGAGGAACACCGGUGGCGAAGGCGGCAUCCUGGACCGGCAUUGACGCUGAUGAGCGAAAGCCAGGGGAGCAAACGGGAUUAGAUACCCCGGUAGUCCUGGCCCUAAACGAUGAAUGCUUGGUGUGGCGGGUAUCGAUCCCUGCCGUGCCGAAGCUAACGCAUUAAGCAUUCCGCCUGGGGAGUACGGUCG
Molecule: ribosomal RNA, 813 nt
Filed under: uncultured Acidobacteriota bacterium
Lineage: Bacteria; Pseudomonadati; Acidobacteriota
Description: bacterial SSU rRNA
Rfam family: Bacterial small subunit ribosomal RNA
Source: RNAcentral